CGAUGUGGAUCGCCUAGUCCUGUCACCACGCCCGGGUCACCAGCAAGACCGCUUGGCAGGAGCGGGGGACCCACUUUUGGUCCGUCUCCGGACGGUCCUCGGGGUGAAGUCCUCACCAGAGCGCCCGCAAGGUCGGGAGGCAACCGUGAGGGCCGGGUGACCUACCUCCACCCGAACCCGACAGCUCACCUCGUAGGCGUCGGAGGUUCUCUGA
RNAcentral lists this small RNA (214 nucleotides) under Phycicoccus sp. RNAcentral describes it as "c-di-AMP sequence". It matches the Rfam family "c-di-AMP riboswitch aptamer (ydaO/yuaA leader)". Rfam says of the family: This family represents a conserved RNA structure found upstream of the ydaO and yuaA genes in Bacillus subtilis and related genes in other bacteria. The record is from RNAcentral. Lineage: Bacteria; Bacillati; Actinomycetota; Actinomycetes; Micrococcales; Intrasporangiaceae.